CAGCAGUGGGGAAUCUUCCGCAAUGGACGAAAGUCUGACGGAGCAACGCCGCGUGAGUGAAGACGGCCUUCGGGUUGUAAAGCUCUGUGAUUCGGGACGAAAGGUUAUAUGUGAAUAAUAUAUGGAAAUGACGGUACCGAAAAAGCAAGCCACGGCUAACUACGUGCCAGCAGCCGCGGUAAUACGUAGGUGGCAAGCGUUGUCCGGAAUUAUUGGGCGUAAAGCGCGCGCAGGCGGUCACUUAAGUCCAUCUUAGAAGUGCGGGGCUUAACCCCGUGAUGGGAUGGAAACUGGGAGACUGGAGUAUCGGAGAGGAAAGUGGAAUUCCUAGUGUAGCGGUGAAAUGCGUAGAUAUUAGGAAGAACACCGGUGGCGAAGGCGACUUUCUGGACGAAAACUGACGCUGAGGCGCGAAAGCGUGGGGAGCAAACAGGAUUAGA
RNAcentral lists this ribosomal RNA (440 nucleotides) under uncultured Dialister sp. RNAcentral's name for it is "bacterial SSU rRNA". It matches the Rfam family "Bacterial small subunit ribosomal RNA", at positions 349 to 782 of the family's 1533-position model. Lineage: Bacteria; Bacillati; Bacillota; Negativicutes; Veillonellales; Veillonellaceae. The record is from RNAcentral.